AGUCGAGCGGAUGAGAGGAGCUUGCUCCUGGAUUCAGCGGCGGACGGGUGAGUAAUGCCUAGGAAUCUGCCUGGUAGUGGGGGACAACGUUUCGAAAGGAACGCUAAUACCGCAUACGUCCUACGGGAGAAAGCAGGGGACCUUCGGGCCUUGCGCUAUCAGAUGAGCCUAGGUCGGAUUAGCUAGUUGGUGAGGUAAUGGCUCACCAAGGCGACGAUCCGUAACUGGUCUGAGAGGAUGAUCAGUCACACUGGAACUGAGACACGGUCCAGACUCCUACGGGAGGCAGCAGUGGGGAAUAUUGGACAAUGGGCGAAAGCCUGAUCCAGCCAUGCCGCGUGUGUGAAGAAGGUCUUCGGAUUGUAAAGCACUUUAAGUUGGGAGGAAGGGUUGUAGAUUAAUACUCUGCAAUUUUGACGUUACCGACAGAAUAAGCACCGGCUAACUCUGUGCCAGCAGCCGCGGUAAUACAGAGGGUGCAAGCGUUAAUCGGAAUUACUGGGCGUAAAGCGCGCGUAGGUGGUUCGUUAAGUUGGAUGUGAAAUCCCCGGGCUCAACCUGGGAACUGCAUUCAAAACUGUCGAGCUAGAGUAUGGUAGAGGGUGGUGGAAUUUCCUGUGUAGCGGUGAAAUGCGUAGAUAUAGGAAGGAACACCAGUGGCGAAGGCGACCACCUGGACU
RNAcentral lists this ribosomal RNA (680 nucleotides) under Pseudomonas sp. RNAcentral describes it as "bacterial SSU rRNA". It matches the Rfam family "Bacterial small subunit ribosomal RNA", at positions 60 to 735 of the family's 1533-position model. The record is from RNAcentral. Lineage: Bacteria; Pseudomonadati; Pseudomonadota; Gammaproteobacteria; Pseudomonadales; Pseudomonadaceae.